RNAcentral lists this long non-coding RNA (462 nucleotides) under Ananas comosus (pineapple). Its description in RNAcentral is "long non-coding RNA (ACOM_LNC006222)". Lineage: Eukaryota; Viridiplantae; Streptophyta; Magnoliopsida; Poales; Bromeliaceae. The record is from RNAcentral.
AUUUAAAACAUAUCUAAUAGGGUUAAUUUCAUACAGACCCUUGUAAAUAUAGUGAAUGACAAAUAUAUCCCUACAAACUUCAAUUUUUAUAUGUUGUCCCUACAAAAGUUUCAAUAUUUUCAAAUAUAUCUCUCUAGUUUGCUACCGUUAGAGAAUUAUUUAUAUUUUUAAUUUUGUUAUCAUAAAUAUGCACCUCCAAAAGACAUGAGGGUAAAAAUAUAAAAAACUAAUCAAGAUUAAGUAUUUAAUCUAUGGUUAACUAAAUUUUUCUAACGGAUUCUAACGGUAGGAAUAUAUUUGAAAAAUCAUGACUUUUGUAGGAAUAACAUAUGAAAGCUGAAUUUUGUAACGAUAUAUUUAUCAUUCACUAUAUUUAUAGGACCUGUAUAAAAUUAACUCUAUCUAAUAAUACCCAACCUAAACAAACCGUCUAUCCAUUACCCAAGUUUUAGGAAUUCCAUU